GGCGGACGGGUGAGUAACGUGUGAGGAACCUGCCUUGAAGAGGGGGACAACAGUUGGAAACGACUGCUAAUACCGCAUGACGCAUAGAGGUCGCAUGAUCUUUAUGCCAAAGAUUUAUCGCUUCAAGAUGGCCUCGCGUCUGAUUAGCUGGUUGGCGGGGUAACGGCCCACCAAGGCAACGAUCAGUAGCCGGACUGAGAGGUUGAACGGCCACAUUGGGACUGAGAUACGGCCCAGACUCCUACGGGAGGCAGCAGUGGGGAAUAUUGGGCAAUGGGCGCAAGCCUGACCCAGCAACGCCGCGUGAAGGAAGAAGGCUUUCGGGUUGUAAACUUCUUUUAAGAGGGAAGAGCAGAAGACGGUACCUCUAGAAUAAGCCACGGCUAACUACGUGCCAGCAGCCGCGGUAAUACGUAGGUGGCAAGCGUUGUCCGGAUUUACUGGGUGUAA
RNAcentral lists this ribosomal RNA (450 nucleotides) under uncultured bacterium. RNAcentral's name for it is "bacterial SSU rRNA". It matches the Rfam family "Bacterial small subunit ribosomal RNA", at positions 97 to 563 of the family's 1533-position model. The record is from RNAcentral.